This 173-nucleotide unclassified non-coding RNA is filed under the name soil metagenome. Its description in RNAcentral is "partial internal transcribed spacer 1". The record is from RNAcentral.
CAAGAAGCCGAAAGGCUACUUAAAACCAUCGCGAACUUAUCCAAGUUGCUUCGGCGGCGCGGCUCCCCUCACGGGGGACCGCAGCCCCCGCCUCUCAGGAGGUAAGGGGCAGCCGCCGGAGGUACGAAACUCUGUAUUAUAGUGGUAUCUCUGAGUAUAAAACAAAUGAGUUA